RNAcentral lists this ribosomal RNA (465 nucleotides) under uncultured bacterium. RNAcentral describes it as "partial 16S ribosomal RNA". It matches the Rfam family "Bacterial small subunit ribosomal RNA", at positions 28 to 507 of the family's 1533-position model. The record is from RNAcentral.
GACGAACGCUGGCGGCGUGCUUAACACAUGCAAGUCGAACGGAAAGGCCCCUUUUGGGGUACUCGAGUGGCGCACGGGUGAGUAACACGUGAGUAACCUUCCCUUGACUUCGGGAUAACUUCAGGAAACUGGGGCCAAUACCGGAUAGGAAUCCUUGCUGCAUGGUGGGGGUUGGAAAGAUUCGGCGGUUUUGGAUGGACUCGCGGCUUAUCAGCUUGUUGGUGGGGUAGUGGCUUACCAAGGCUUCGACGGGUAGCCGGACUGAGAGGGCGACCGGCCACACUGGGACUGAGAUACGGCCGCGACUCCUACGGGUGGAAGAAGUGGGGAAUAUUGAUCCAUGGGCGGCGGCCUGAUGCAGAAACGCCGCGUGCGGGAUGACGGCCUUCGGGUUGGAAACCGCUUUCAGCAGGGGCGAAGCUUGUGGUGACGGUACCUGCAGAAGAAGCACCGGCUAACUACGUG